GCGCCCAUAGCUCAGCUGGAUAGAGCGUCUGACUACGAAUCAGAAGGUCGGCUGUUCGAGUCAGCCUGGGCGCG
RNAcentral lists this transfer RNA (74 nucleotides) under Binatia bacterium. Its description in RNAcentral is "tRNA-Arg". It matches the Rfam family "tRNA". Rfam says of the family: Transfer RNA (tRNA) molecules are approximately 80 nucleotides in length. Their secondary structure includes four short double-helical elements and three loops (D, anti-codon, and T loops). Lineage: Bacteria; Candidatus Binatota; Binatia (SeqCode). The record is from RNAcentral.